This 253-nucleotide ribosomal RNA is filed under the name uncultured bacterium. RNAcentral describes it as "partial 16S ribosomal RNA". It matches the Rfam family "Bacterial small subunit ribosomal RNA", at positions 524 to 776 of the family's 1533-position model. RNAcentral also lists the same sequence under 1 other name. The record is from RNAcentral.
UACGGAGGGUGCAAGCGUUAUCCGGAUUCACUGGGUUUAAAGGGUGCGUAGGUGGGCAGGUAAGUCAGUGGUGAAAUCUCUGGGCUUAACCCGGAAACUGCCGUUGAUACUAUCUGUCUUGAAUAUAGUGGAGGUGAGCGGAAUAUGUCAUGUAGCGGUGAAAUGCUUAGAUAUGACAUAGAACAUCGAUUGCGAAGGCAGCUCGCUACACUAUGAUUGACACUGAGGCACGAAAGCGUGGGGAUCAAACAGG